GAUGAACGCUAGCGGCAGGCUUAACACAUGCAAGUCGAGGGGCAGCAUGACGGAACCUUCGGGUUUUGUUGAUGGCGACCGGCGCAAGGGUGCGUAACGCGUGAGCAACUUGCCCGUUUCAGGGGGAUAACCGGUGGAAACGCCGACUAAUACCCCAUGGCAUUGAGUUGAGGCAUCUCUACUCAAUUAAAGAAUUUCGGAUAAGGAUAGGCUCGCGUGACAUUAGCUAGACGGCGGGGUAACGGCCCACCGUGGCGACGAUGUCUAGGGGUUCUGAGAGGAAGGUCCCCCACACUGGAACUGAGACACGGUCCAGACUCCUACGGGAGGCAGCAGUGAGGAAUAUUGGUCAAUGGUCUGACGACUGAACCAGCCAUGCCGCGUGAAGGUCACGGCCCUAUGGGUCUUAAACUUCUUUUGCGAGGGAGCAAUAAGGCGCACGUGUGCGUCGAUGAGAGUACCUGCGAAUAAGCAUCGGCUAACUCCGUGCCAG
Molecule: ribosomal RNA, 493 nt
Filed under: uncultured bacterium
Lineage: Bacteria
Description: bacterial SSU rRNA
Rfam family: Bacterial small subunit ribosomal RNA
Source: RNAcentral